Molecule: long non-coding RNA, 1697 nt
Filed under: Homo sapiens (human)
Lineage: Eukaryota; Metazoa; Chordata; Mammalia; Primates; Hominidae
Description: HSALNT0398591
Source: RNAcentral
GGCUGGGAGCCCAGACUCCUGAAUCCUUGAAGGAGGGGGCUGGGACCUGGAUCCCGGGGUCCAGAAUCUGGAGAAGGCUGGGGACACUUCCUGGAUUCAAGAGGGAGGACAGAGAUGGGGGCUGGGGCUGGUAGGAUCGUGGCUGGAAGAGACUAGGGGCGAGCUGCCCGAGCCCUCGGGGGAGGUGGAGGAAGACUGGCUUUGGAGUGCCUGCGGCAGCGGAAGGGUUAACGUCUGGCUGGAGGGGAGGGGGAGGCGCAGGGAUGGGGCUGCGGGGCUUUGAGGGGUCAAGGGUGAGCCGUGCCAGUGGGAGGGGGCCGAGGAGGAGGGGGAGGUUGUCUGGGCUGCCAGACAGGCCAGGGUCAGCGGCGGGGGCAGGAGAUGUCUGGAGGAGGAGAGGCCCAGCAUCCAUGCUCCCUCGGGGACCCGGGAUUCCAGGUCCCAGACCCCUCCUCCCUCAGAUCUGGGAGUACACCACCCAGUCCCCCACCCAUUCCAGAAUCCGAGCCCCCAGCCCCCUUUUUUCCAGGAUCCAGGAGUCUGAGCCCCCAGUCUGUUCUCUCAGACCAGGGAAUCCACACUCCAGCCCCUAACUCCUUCAAAACCCCAGAGUUCAGAACCUCAGCCCCUCUUCCCAAGGAGCGCGGCCCCCAACCCUCUGUUCCUCUAGAACCCAAGCGUUCAGGCUCCGGCAUCUUUCUCCCUUUGAAGCCUGCAGUUCUGGGGAUCCCCAGGCCCCUCCUCCUCCGGAACCCAGGAGUCCCCACCUCCUCUUUAGCCCCAGCUGGAGUCCAGCCCUCCAGGGGUUAAGGGGGCGGGACCAGCUAGUUGCCAUGGUGCCAGACUGUUUGGGUCUGCUCUCUGACCCUUGGGGGCUCCCCAGGGUCCGCAGAGAGGGGGAGGGGGACCUAGGCCUGGGGGAAGUCCAGAGCCUACCCCUUCCCCAAAGCGGGGCUAUGGGCCCAGGGAGUUCGCGUUUCCACCAACGCCUUGUCCAGUGACCUUGAACAAGUCCUGACCCUUCUCUCUCCGCCUCAGUUUCCCCAAGGAGACACUGGUUGGCGGGUGGGGGAGAUGCUUAGGUCCGGGGAAUCUCUGAGAUUCUCGGCUUCCCCUCUCCCCUCACCCUCCUCCUCAGGCCCCAGGCAGCCCCGGGGCAUGCUGGGAACCCAGGCCUGGGCUCCGGGCCAGGUUGGUGUGGGGGGGUGGGGGCGGGGGCAGCCUCCUCCCUUCCCCUUCCUCCCCACCUUGGCCUGACUCUCGCCCCCGCCUGAGGGUCUGGGAGGUUGGGAAGGAGGGAAGGGGGAAGAGAGCUGGCCGUAGACCCGUCUCCGGCCCCCGCCUCCCCCUUUCCUCCUCCGCCCCUUUCCCGCCUCUCCUCCCCCUCCUCAGGUCGCUACCCCAGCCCUGGGCCCCUUCUCAAACCACCCCCACCCCACCCCCAGCUCCAGACCUGGCUCGAGCUGCGAGGGGGAGGGAGAGAGGGAAGGAGAAAAGAGAGAGAGAGAAGGGAGGGAGACCCAAAGAGAGAAGGGGGAGGGGAGGAAAGAGAGAGACCUAAGAGGGAGGGAAGGAGAGAGAGAGGGAGAGAGACAGAGACUGAGAGAGAGCAGGAGACGGAGACUAUGAUGAGAGAAGCCACCUGCAUGACACCUUCACCCAGAUGACCCAUGCCCUGCAGGAGCUGGCUGCUGCCC